Brienomyrus brachyistius is the source of this 4206-nucleotide long non-coding RNA. RefSeq lists it as uncharacterized. The transcript has 3 exons. NCBI's taxonomy places the organism in Eukaryota, Metazoa, Chordata, Actinopteri, Osteoglossiformes, Mormyridae. The record is from RefSeq and is a predicted model, not a curated record.
UUAUAUUUCAAGGAGCAUCUUUUUAAAGGAGCUGUGUAGCAGAUUGGGACACCAUUUUGGUUAAUGGUGAGAAAGAUGUUUCUUCAUUUUCCCUUGGAAGCUCGUCUGUGCUCCCCCACCCCCCCCCCGGCGCCAUUCUCGCUGGCCUUCACUUCCGGAAGAACAGAGGUAUGUGAGAUACCAAAAGGACGGAAGUGCUCUUCAGACGGCAAGACGGGGCGGCCUCGCCCUCCUGGUCGUCAUGGGCUCUGCUGACUGCCUGCGAGAUCCGUCUUAGUUUCACUCUGUGCAGGAUCAUCACUCCUGCUAAAUUUAUUUGAAUUAACUCACUCCUAAUCACCUUCCUCAUUAAUUAUGUGCCAAAAAUCCUUUUCUUUUUUUACUCUUGGUGCUGACUGAUCGUAUGCGAAAUGCCCUGAUAUCAGGAUGAUUUAAACAGGAGAAAUCCAUUGUUGGUGUAUUAAUAGAACAGCUAUUAUCUAACAAACGGGCUGGUGACAUUGCAGAUGUUUGCCAUGGAAUAUUGCAGACGUAUUGAUAGAUGAGUUAAUUAGUACGUGGAGACAGUGGCCGUCGUGACUCGCAGUCUUUGGCCUUCGUAUAAAUUGCUGGAGACAACAGAUUUUUUAUUUUUUUUUUAGAGAAAGAGAAGCUGCUGCCAUCGGAAGCCCUUGUGGGAUACAGUGAAACUGCAACAGAUACGUAGCAGUGUGAUUCUCACUGCAGUCGUUUGGUAUAUCACGUUCCUCGAAGUAAUGAAAGCAGAAAAGCCACGCGUUGAACACACACAUCACGGGCACUGAAAGGAAUGGAUAUCACCACCUAUAUUCUGACUUAAGAUUCAAAUUUCACUCGCUAUUAUUAAUCCUGCCAGUCAGAAAUAGGACCAGUGUUAGUUAUUUGUUGUUACUCCGUCAUUGCAGUUAGUCUGUUGCUAAGUAACCCGUUCUGGUGAGCUUAUGUGACGGAAUUUCGGGUGUGAAUGGGUUCCUCGGCUUCUGCCUGUACAUUUUUUGCACAGCUAUAUUAGGACGUGGUGAUUGUGAGCCGAGUAGCAGCGCAGUGAACAUGCUUGAUGUCCUGCUCUAGGGAUCGGUCAGUCGGAGAGAGGAAAAUCCACGAAGAAUUGCAACUUCGGGGAGGGGGGGUUCUGAGAUGUGCAGGAAAUGUAAGGCAGUUGACAGUCAACAGGCAGGCAGCACCCCCCCCCCCCCCCGGAACACAAGAUAACGCAACAAUAGAGAGAGAGAAACAACAGAGAACUCCAGGGUUGCCAGAUUGGAGGCCAGUGCUUUUUCUGUCGGAAGAGCACAGAGUUUAGCGCUCUCCUCAGAGCUGAAAAGUUAACUUUUACUCCUUUAAGUGCUAAUUGGUGAUCAAAAAUCAUCCUCCAGUCUCCCGGCCAUCAGCUGACACGUCCGCUGUGUUGCUGGCACGGAAUUAAAAGAUUCAUCAGAACAAGCAUGUUUUAUUGAAAAGCAUUUUCAUGAUGGAUGGAGGGAGAGCUUUGAGGUUGGGGGGGGUUAUAGUCAUAAAGCCGUGUGCCGCUUCUGGAAAGUGCCAGGCAUUAAGCUCUGCUGUAUUUCCCAUAAACAUGCACACUGUCCAUCUAAAUCCCACAUACCUAACUGCCUAACAUCAAUGCACUCUAAUGUACUUGCCAUAAAGACUUUACUGGAGCCUAUGAAUUCUGCCUCAUAUGCAUGCAGGAACUGCAAUACCAAAUCAUAAUGUAGAUUCUGGAAUUUAUUAACACAGUAAGACAGCAUGCAUGUAAAUUAGGCCACAUUAUACAAUGCGAUACCAUGAUAUGGUGACAAAGGAAUGUCACUGUGAGCUUCACAAAAUGCACUGCGCAGUGUGACUCAGGACAUCCCAUGAUCACAUUGGGGGUCUCUCAGAGCAGGGGACACGACCCUACUCCCUCACCUCAUCUGGCCUUGCCCCGUCCCUCUCCCCUCGAUUAGACCGACUGCUUUUUUCUGUAAUACACGGCCAUGAAUUGUUAAUGCCCAGCGAUUGCUUGGCUGUGCUUCGCUGAGUUUCUGCUGGUUAAUUAGGCCUGCGGGAGGCGGUAGAGAGGCAGGGACAGAGGGGGGAGGGAGAGGGCUGCUGUCACCAAGGCAAGGAAUCAAGGGAGAAGUUUUUUCCUGGGGGAUGCCUAUUUUGCUGGUGUUUAGGAGAAACAGAGUCCUCAGGUGUGUCAGGGAGACAUAACAGCCCAGGCACUUGGGAGAUGUGUCACAUGUUCCCAGCAUGCACCAGGAGGACCUUUCUGCGUCUCGAAGCGUAUGAGGAGGCUGGAGAAGGCAGCAACAGGGACUUAAUUUGGGAACGGGAGUGGAGGCGGACUUAACGGAUGCUGGAAGCAAAGAACAAAAGACAGCAGCCGUGUGUGGGAAAGACAAGCAAGAAUACAGGUGGCGCAGAAGGGUUCCAUAGAGGUCAGGGGUCUGGGUGUAGUUACUUAGGUGAAAGAGAUCAGAACUGGACCUUAAACAUAUUCGGGUUAAGGAACAGGUGAGUUCAAGUCAAAUGACCUUGCCCCCAGCCCAGAUGUCCAUGCAGUCUUACUGAAAAAUACUAUAAACCUCGUAAAAUCCAAGGAAUUAUGGGCAAUAUGACAUGAAUGAAUAUUAAGUCAUACACUCAGUCACAAUAUUUAAUUCAUCUGCACUGUAAAUGAAAAUAAAUAUAGAGGCAAUUAAUUUUCCUGUCAUUAGCGUGGUAUAACCUGCGCCUCCUUGAAUAAACCUGUGCUGCCUGACACUCAUGACGACGCCCCCCUGGUCACUCCGCUGUCUCCCUUAACGAAUCACAGAUGCAAGGGGCUGGGGAGCCUCUCCUAAUUAAUCCCUGAUUCAGGCACACACAGAAGCACCAUCAUUUCCACAACGCAGGAACCGCACGGGGGGGUGUUUGAGGACUGAGGGCUUUCACGUCGUCGCCACGGCAGCGGGAAGCGGGGGACGUCUCAUCUCCACACGCUGGUGGGAAGCGAGCAUGCCUUUAAAAGCAUGUAACAUGGUGCCGGCUCUUAAGAGCACGCUAUGCUCCCGCUUGGUAGCGAUGUCGCUACUGCCUCUCUCCCCUCACUGCCGCCUCCCAGAUGGGUCUGGGCUUUCAGGCUGCCGCAAUCCAGGCCAGUGCCUCGGCCCACAGCAGCUACCCGCCUCCAGGGCUGUGGGCUCCUUUCUCGCCCUGCCUCUGUGUGCACAUUGAACUCCCAUGUUCCCCGUGUGUCAAUUCAUGUGGCUAUUUCCUGGAUAAGAAGACAUAUUCUAGUUGAGCCAGUUUUCUCACCCUAGUGUGUGAAUGCAUAUACCUGCCAUGCAAAUUUGUCAAGGUGUCUCCCAGCCUCAUGCCCUGUGAUGGACAGACAUCCCACCCACGGUGUCCCCCAGCCUUGUGCCCUGUGAUGGACAGACCUUCCCACCAACGGUGUCCCCCAGCCUCGUGCCCUGUGAUGGACAGACAUCCCACCCACGGUGUCCCCCAGCCUCGUGCCCUGUGAUGGACAGACCUUCCCACCAACGGUGUCCCCCAGCCUCGUGCCCUGUGAUGGACAGACCUUCCCACCAACGGUGUCCCCCAGCCUCGUGCCCUGUGAUGGACAGGAAUCCCGUCCAGGAUGUCCCCUGCCACAUGCCCAGUGCUUUCUGGGCUAGGCUCCAGGCUCAUUGAAAAGCAGUUAUGGAAGAUGGAUGGAUAACAGCGCUCACUCCCCACUACCAGGCUGGGCUUCAGAGAGCUGGCAACCCGGCUGGUUGUUGGAGCGGUGAUGGUCCCCAGGCCCCAGGCACACUUUUGGGGGGGGGGGUUGUUCCCAUAGGGAUAAGUCCCGUGAUCCAGGGCAGCCUCAUCACACAUCCUGCCCCAUUUGAACACCUCGGCCUUCAAGAAUGGUCCAGCACGCACCACUAUCAAGUCAGGAGCAGGGGGUCCAUAUCUGGGACUCCAUCCAUCCAUCCAUCCAUCCAUCCAUCUUCCGUAACCAUGUAUCUGAUAUAGGGUUACAUAAAGUCUGUAGUUGAUUCCAGGAAACACAGGGCGCAAGGCAGGGGACUCCCAGGACAGGAUGUCAGCCCAUUACAGCGCAUCAUUUGAGGGAUUUGUGCCUCCGGAGGUUAGAGCAUUGUGCCUGCAAGCAGAAGGUUGCUGGGUCAAAUCCUGUCAGCUGAGUGAUGCCACUGUUGGGCCCCUGAA